UGACAGUGACAAAAAGGAAGCAGCCUUCUCUAGCCCACCCAAGUUUCCAUCAAAGGAGCAAGCCUAUGUCAGUAAGAAGAAAGCUGGCUAACCCUCCCACCCCUUGUUUAACUCCUCCAGCCCAUCCCACAUCAUUGUAGAGUGAAGAGACUGCGGUUAAUAUUCAGAAAGAGGCGCAGAGAACUGAAGGCUUUCCUGACUUGACACCGAAUAAUAACGAAGGCCUGUGUGCUUUGCAGCAGCCUCCACGUCACCCUCUUCCAGUGCUCCGUCAGAGGACUAACGAUAUGCCACAAGAUGAUUGGCACCAAGACACACCCAGUGAUGAAGGGAUGUGCUCUCCUUAAAUCACAGCCUAUUCAUCAGGUACUCCUGAGUGCUGUGUUAAGAAAUCCUGCCUACAAAGUUCCACUGAGGCUGAUAUAAAGAUGACUGUGAGAAACUGGGUGCGGCUGUCUGAGCAGAGACAGGAAUGGGGGCAGCAAAGGCGGGACAAGCAAGCAUCUUAAGUGAAAUAAUUGAUUGGACUGAUUCUGGAGUAUGACUUAUUCUGGAGGGAAUUUCUUAUUUUUGUUGCAGUUUGCUAUGGGACGGUUUCAAGGACAGGGAUUAGACUAGUUCUAGACUAAAAUAAAUGUAAGAGCUGUCCAAACUGAAAACAACUUGCACUGACAUAUCAUAAAAUACAUCAGUGUCUUUUGUGAUGCUUCAAAAUGCACACAAGUAAUGUUUUUAUUAAGACAUGUUAUUAAAACUAGUUAUAUUUCAGAGUUAAACUAAGGCCUAGUCCCGGUUUAAGAUAAUCCCUGUCCGGGAAACCACCCCAAAGUGUAAUUUGUGGAGUGUUAAAAUAAAUGAAACUGCCUUUGCAAAAACAAAGUAAAAAAAAAAUUCCAGAUGCCCUUCUGUUUUGUUAUUUCUCCUGGAAAACUCACUGAUCCAUUUUUUUCUGUUAGACUGACAUUUACCAGGUUGUCAUAUUGUGUAUGAAAUACACCCUACACAUAACAAUCACUGACUUUCAAUUUAAACUUUUUUUGUCAUAAAACCUGGCAACUCAAAAGGAAGCGGCUGCAGACUGCGCAGCCACGGACGGAGUCUUGCAUGCAAGUGGGCUAGUUGCCUACUUCUCCACUAGCUCUUGUCAAAUUGUUAGGGAAGAAAUUUUAUGAUUAACACAACAUAAACUGUUAUUGAGGGUUGAUUGUUGUUGAUACACAAUAUGAAAUGAGUUAGCCUGCAGGGGUCUCCAACAUUGUGAGCAAGGGCUACAACAAUAUGUAUAAAACAAUCUGGAGGGCUACUUUUUUAUUUAUUCUACUCAGAACUUUUUUGUUUUACUUACUGAUUUUAUUUUAUUUUUGAUAUGUUUUAGUAUUGUUUAAUAUGUUAACAUACGUAAACCAAGCCAAGUUAAUAUAAAACAUAUGUAUGUAAUAAAUAAAUAUUACAAUUGA
Non-coding RNA from Misgurnus anguillicaudatus (oriental weatherfish), 1457 nucleotides. The record is from RefSeq and is a predicted model, not a curated record. Lineage: Eukaryota; Metazoa; Chordata; Actinopteri; Cypriniformes; Cobitidae.